This 247-nucleotide ribosomal RNA is filed under the name uncultured bacterium. Its description in RNAcentral is "partial 16S ribosomal RNA". It matches the Rfam family "Bacterial small subunit ribosomal RNA", at positions 524 to 770 of the family's 1533-position model. The record is from RNAcentral.
UACGGGGGGGAGCAAGCGUUGUUCGGAUUUACUGGGCGUAAAGAGCGCGCAGGCGGUCGUUCAAGUCGCGUGUGAAAGCCCCCGGCUCAACUGGGGAGGGUCACGCGAUACUGAUCGACUGGAAGGCAGGAGAGGGUAGUGGAAUUCCCGGUGUAGUGGUGAAAUGCGUAGAUAUUCGCAAGAACACCAGUGGCGAAGGCGAUUCCUGGCUCGGUACUGACUGCUAAGGCGCGAAAGCGUGGGAGCA